AGAGUUUGAUCCUGGCUCAGAUUGAACGCUGGCGGCAUGCCUUACACAUGCAAGUCGAACGGCAGCGGACCUUCGGGUGCCGGCGAGUGGCGAACGGGUGAGUAAUAUAUCGGAACGUGCCUUUCAGUGGGGGAUAACGUAGCGAAAGUUACGCUAAUACCGCAUAUUCUCUGAGGAGGAAAGCAGGGGACCUUCGGGCCUUGCGCUGAUAGAGCGGCCGAUAUCAGAUUAGCUAGUUGGUGGGGUAAAGGCCUACCAAGGCGACGAUCUGUAGCGGGUCUGAGAGGAUGAUCCGCCACACUGGGACUGAGACACGGCCCAGACUCCUACGGGAGGCAGCAGUGGGGAAUUUUGGACAAUGGGCGAAAGCCUGAUCCAGCCAUGCCGCGUGAGUGAAGAAGGCCUUCGGGUUGUAAAGCUCUUUCGGCCGGGAAGAAAUCGCACAGGCUAAUACCUUGUGUGGAUGACGGUACCGGAAUAAGAAGCACCGGCUAACUACGUGCCAGCAGCCGCGGUAAUACGUAGGGUGCGAGCGUUAAUCGGAAUUACUGGGCGUAAAGCGUGCGCAGGCGGUUUGGUAAGACAGGCGUGAAAUCCCCGGGCUCAACCUGGGAACUGCGCUUGUGACUGCCUCACUAGAGUACGGCAGAGGGGGGUGGAAUUCCACGUGUAGCAGUGAAAUGCGUAGAAAUGUGGAGGAACACCGAUGGCGAAGGCAGCCCCCUGGGCCGAUACUGACGCUCAUGCACGAAAGCGUGGGUAGCAAACAGGAUUAGAUACCCAGGUAGUCCACGCCCUAAACGAUGUCAACUGGUUGUUGGGGGGGUAAAACCCUUUAGUAACGUAGCUAACGCGUGAAGUUGACCGCCUGGGGAGUACGGCCGCAAGGUUAAAACUCAAAGGAAUUGACGG
RNAcentral lists this ribosomal RNA (912 nucleotides) under uncultured beta proteobacterium. RNAcentral describes it as "bacterial SSU rRNA". It matches the Rfam family "Bacterial small subunit ribosomal RNA", at positions 8 to 916 of the family's 1533-position model. The record is from RNAcentral. Lineage: Bacteria; Pseudomonadati; Pseudomonadota; Betaproteobacteria.